AUGACCCACAUAUCAGAUAUUAAACUGAUAAAAACAGAUACUACACUUGAUCUUAGCCAAAAGGCCGAGAAAGGUAUGAGUUGGGGUGCUGCCCUGCCUAUUUAUUUGUAG
Molecule: ribosomal RNA, 111 nt
Filed under: Triticum aestivum (bread wheat)
Lineage: Eukaryota; Viridiplantae; Streptophyta; Magnoliopsida; Poales; Poaceae
Description: partial small subunit ribosomal RNA
Source: RNAcentral